GCAGUCAACGCCUUUCGGCAUCACGGCGAGUGGGAC
RNAcentral lists this non-coding RNA (36 nucleotides) under Myxococcus xanthus. Lineage: Bacteria; Pseudomonadati; Myxococcota; Myxococcia; Myxococcales; Myxococcaceae. RNAcentral also lists the same sequence under 1 other name. The record is from RNAcentral.